UACGUAGGGAGCAAGCGUUGUCCGGAAUUACUGGGCGUAAAGCGUGCGCAGGCGGUUAUUUAAGUCAGGUGUGAAAGCCCUGGGCUUAACCUAGGAAUUGCGCUUGAGACUGGAUAGCUUGGAGUGCGGCAGAGGGAGGUGGAAUUCCACGUGUAGCAGUGAAAUGCGUAGAGAUGUGGAGGAACACCGAUGGCGAAGGCAGCCUCCUGGGCCAGCACUGACGCUCAUGCACGAAAGCGUGGGGAGCAAACAGG
RNAcentral lists this ribosomal RNA (254 nucleotides) under uncultured bacterium. RNAcentral describes it as "partial 16S ribosomal RNA". It matches the Rfam family "Bacterial small subunit ribosomal RNA", at positions 524 to 776 of the family's 1533-position model. The record is from RNAcentral.